GACGAACGCUGGCGGCGUGCUUAACACAUGCAAGUCGAACGGAAAGGCCCUGCUUUUGUGGGGUGCUCGAGUGGCGAACGGGUGAGUAACACGUGAGUAACCUGCCCUUGACUUUGGGAUAACUUCAGGAAACUGGGGCUAACACCGGAUAGGAGCUCCUGCGGCAUGGUGGGGGUUGGAAAGUUUGGGCGGUUGGGGAUGGACUCGCGGCUUAUCAGCUUGUUGGUGGGGUAGUGGCUUACCAAGGCUUUGACGGGUAGCCGGCCUGAGAGGGUGACCGGCCACAUUGGGACUGAGAUACGGCCCAGACUCCUACGGGAGGCAGCAGUGGGGAAUAGUGCACAAUGGGCGGAAGCCUGAUGCAGCAACGCCGCGUGCGGGAUGACGGCCUUCGGGUUGUACACCGCUUUCGCCUGUGACGAAGCGUGAGUGACGGUAAUGGGUAAAGAAGCACCGGCUAACUACGUG
RNAcentral lists this ribosomal RNA (468 nucleotides) under uncultured bacterium. RNAcentral describes it as "partial 16S ribosomal RNA". It matches the Rfam family "Bacterial small subunit ribosomal RNA", at positions 28 to 507 of the family's 1533-position model. The record is from RNAcentral.